GUCACGGUGGUCUAGCGGUUAGAACGCUGGCCUUGUAAUCCUGGGGUCUCGGGUUCGAUUCCUGGCGGUGCCC
RNAcentral lists this transfer RNA (73 nucleotides) under Zootermopsis nevadensis. It matches the Rfam family "tRNA". From Rfam's summary of the family: Transfer RNA (tRNA) molecules are approximately 80 nucleotides in length. Their secondary structure includes four short double-helical elements and three loops (D, anti-codon, and T loops). Further hydrogen bonds mediate the characteristic L-shaped molecular structure. tRNAs have two regions of fundamental functional importance: the anti-codon, which is responsible for specific mRNA codon recognition, and the 3' end, to which the tRNAs corresponding amino acid is attached (by aminoacyl-tRNA synthetases). tRNAs cope with the degeneracy of the genetic code in two manners: having more than one tRNA (with a specific anti-codon) for a particular amino acid; and 'wobble' base-pairing, i.e. permitting non-standard base-pairing at the 3rd anti-codon position. Lineage: Eukaryota; Metazoa; Arthropoda; Insecta; Blattodea; Termopsidae. The record is from Rfam by way of RNAcentral.